UAUAUCUCUUACCAUUCAAAUAUUUAUAUUGCUUUAAAACCAUCCAUUCAAUAUAUCUCUUAAAUCAUGUGUUCACUAUUCUCUUCUUCUUCUCUUUACGCCAACAUUGCUGGGAGAACUGCUCCUCUUGCAACUACAAAACCAGCAGUCCAAAGGAGUUACUGGUCUUGAAGAUGAUCUCCAUCUUCCUCCUUCGAUUUUUCUCCCUUUAUUGGGUCUUGGGGUGCCAAGCCAAAACCAGCCCCGGCAUCAAGGACACCAGCAAAGCAAAAGGAAAUUGUUUAUUCCAUCAACUUAAGUUACUUCACAAAUUUGCAAACUAUUGA
This is a non-coding RNA of Vicia faba (fava bean), 326 nucleotides long. Lineage: Eukaryota; Viridiplantae; Streptophyta; Magnoliopsida; Fabales; Fabaceae. The record is from the annotation of a GenBank genome assembly.